CACGAAGGGGGCUAGCGUUGCUCGGAAUCACUGGGCGUAAAGCGCACGUAGGCGGAUUGUUAAGUCAGGGGUGAAAUCCUGGAGCUCAACUCCAGAACUGCCUUUGAUACUGACGGUCUUGAGUUCGGGAGAGGUGAGUGGAACUGCGAGUGUAGAGGUGAAAUUCGUAGAUAUUCGCAAGAACACCAGUGGCGAAGGCGGCUCACUGGCCCGAUACUGACGCUGAGGUGCGAAAGCGUGGGGAGCAAACAGG
RNAcentral lists this ribosomal RNA (253 nucleotides) under uncultured bacterium. RNAcentral's name for it is "partial 16S ribosomal RNA". It matches the Rfam family "Bacterial small subunit ribosomal RNA", at positions 524 to 776 of the family's 1533-position model. The record is from RNAcentral.